AACAAAGAAGUAAAAAAAAUUACUCUUAAUUUCGACCUAAGUAUAAAGGAUUUAGUCCUUCUUGUUUU
Molecule: transfer RNA, 68 nt
Filed under: Atkinsoniella zizhongi
Lineage: Eukaryota; Metazoa; Arthropoda; Insecta; Hemiptera; Cicadellidae
Description: Atkinsoniella sp. 1 YJ-2022a tRNA-Arg
Source: RNAcentral